This 420-nucleotide ribosomal RNA is filed under the name uncultured bacterium. Its description in RNAcentral is "bacterial SSU rRNA". It matches the Rfam family "Bacterial small subunit ribosomal RNA", at positions 359 to 776 of the family's 1533-position model. The record is from RNAcentral.
GAAUAUUGGACAAUGGGGGCAACCCUGAUCCAGCGACGCCGCGUGAAGGAUGAAGGUCUUCGGAUUGUAAACUUCUUUUGGAGGGGAUGAAUGCCUACGUGAAUAACGUAGGGUGACAGUACCCUUCGAAUAAGCCACGGCUAACUACGUGCCAGCAGCCGCGGUAAUACGUAGGUGGCAAGCGUUACUCGGAAUCACUAGGCGUAAAGCGCAGGUAGGCGGUUUGAUAAGUCUGUUGUGAAAGCUCCCGGCUUAACUGGGAGAGGCCAACGGAAACUGUCAGGCUAGAGUGUGGUAGAGGAAGAUGGAAUUCCCGGUGUAGCGGUGAAGUGCGUAGAUAUCGGGAGGAAUACCUAUGGCGAAAGCAGUCUUCUGGACCAUCACUGACGCUGAUCUGCGAAAGCUAGGGGAGCAAACAGG